CAGUCGCCGCGGGAAUACGUAGGUGGCAAGCGUUAUCCGGAAUUAUUGGGCGUAAAGCGCGCGUAGGCGGUUUUUUAAGUCUGAUGUGAAAGCCCACGGCUCAACCGUGGAGGGUCAUUGGAAACUGGAAAACUUGAGUGCAGAAGAGGAAAGUGGAAUUCCAUGUGUAGCGGUGAAAUGCGCAGAGAUAUGGAGGAACACCAGUGGCGAAGGCGACUUUCUGGUCUGUAACUGACGCUGAUGUGCGAAAGCGUGGGGAUCAAACAGGAUUAGAUACCCCUGUAGUCCCUGUCUCUAUACA
Molecule: ribosomal RNA, 301 nt
Filed under: uncultured bacterium
Lineage: Bacteria
Description: partial 16S ribosomal RNA
Rfam family: Bacterial small subunit ribosomal RNA
Source: RNAcentral